Molecule: ribosomal RNA, 421 nt
Filed under: uncultured bacterium
Lineage: Bacteria
Description: bacterial SSU rRNA
Rfam family: Bacterial small subunit ribosomal RNA
Source: RNAcentral
GUAAGGAAUAUUGCUCAAUGGGAGAAAUCCUGAAGCAGCAACGCCGCGUGGAGGAUGAAGGGUCUAUGACUUGUAAACUCCUGUAAAGAAGGAAAAAAUUCCCAUUUGAUGGGAGAUGAUGGUACUUCUGGAGUAAGCCCCGGCUAACUACGUGCCAGCAGCCGCGGUAAUACGUAGGGGGCAAGCGUUGUCCGGAUUUACUGGGUGUAAAGGGUGCUCAGGCGGAUUUGUAAGUCAGAGGUGAAAUCUUACAGCUUAACUGUGAAACUGCCUUUGAUACUGCAAGCCUAGAGUAUGGAAGAGAGUGAUGGAAUAUCUGGUGUAGCAGUGAAAUGCGUAGAUAUCAGAUAAAACACCAAUGGCGAAGGCAGUCACUUGGUCCAUUACUGACGCUAAAGCACGAAAGCGUGGGUAGCAAACA